AGUGGCGACCGGGUGAGUAACACGUGACUAACCUACCCUUGAGUGGGGGAUAACCUCGGGAAACCGGGGCUAAUACCGCAUAAAGUCUUUGGAGUGGGAACUCUGGGGACCAAAGGAGCAAUUCGCUUAAGGAGGGGGUCGCGGCUGAUUAGCUAGUUGGCGGGGUAAUGGCCCACCAAGGCGAUGAUCGGUAGCCGGCCUGAGAGGGCGCACGGCCACACUGGAACUGAAACACGGUCCAGACUCCUACGGGAGGCAGCAGUGGGGAAUUUUGCGCAAUGGGGGAAACCCUGACGCAGCAACGCCGCGUGGAGGAUGAAGUCCCUUGGGACGUAAACUCCUUUCGACCGGGACGAUAAUGACGGUACCGGUGGAAGAAGCCCCGGCUAACUUCGUGCCAGCAGCCGCGGUAAUACGAGGGGGGCAAGCGUUGUUCGGAAUUAUUGGGCGUAAAGGGCGCGUAGGCGGUGCGGUAAGUCACCUGUGAAAUCUCCGGGCUUAACUCGGAGCCUGCAGGCGA
RNAcentral lists this ribosomal RNA (520 nucleotides) under uncultured bacterium. RNAcentral's name for it is "bacterial SSU rRNA". It matches the Rfam family "Bacterial small subunit ribosomal RNA", at positions 94 to 630 of the family's 1533-position model. The record is from RNAcentral.